Molecule: ribosomal RNA, 253 nt
Filed under: uncultured bacterium
Lineage: Bacteria
Description: partial 16S ribosomal RNA
Rfam family: Bacterial small subunit ribosomal RNA
Source: RNAcentral
GACGAACCGUGCAAACGUUAUUCGGAAUCACUGGGCUUAAAGGGCGCGUAGGCGGGCAAGCAAGUCUAGGGUGAAAGCCCCCAGCUUAACUGGGGAAGUGCCUUGGAUACUGCUUGUCUGGAGGGAGGUAGGGGCGUGCGGAACUUCCGGUGGAGCGGUGAAAUGCGUAGAUAUCGGAAGGAACACCGAUGGCGAAAGCAGCGCGCUGGACCUCUUCUGACGCUGAGGCGCGAAAGCCAGGGGAGCAAACGGG